AUGCGGCGCUGGCGGGAGGCGGCGCUGGCGGCGCUGACGGCAGUGCAGCUCGUGGCUGCAGGCAGAGCCUGGGUGCAGCAGGAACCGUUGGUCGAGACCACCGAGGGCACCGAAAUAAACAGCAACUGCUCACACCCCGACAUCCAGUCAAAAGAAUUGAUCUACUGGUACGGUCAGCUGCCGGGCCGAGGCCCCGAACUCCUCGUGAGCAUUCACAAAGGCUCCAAAGAUCCGCCGGACAAGGCGGGACGGGUGUCAGUGUCACCAGACCGUCACCGGAACUCCCUGUGCCUCUCCCGGUCUCAUGUUGGGGAUGCGGUUAUGUAUUCCUGCGCCCUGGCAGACAUGGCCAGAGGAGCCGGGGCUGUGGCCGGGGACACAGCGUCAGCCGGGGCCAACAGGGGCCACUCCUGCACCUCCAAGAUUUCUUCCAUGCCCGUGCCCCAGUGAAGUAGUCUUCUGUUUUUGGGAUGAAAUAUUCCAGGAUUUCCAGGGCAAGGACUCAGUGAUGUCAGGAGUAGACUCAGCUCCAGGGCUGGAUGCAUCCAGAGCAGGCAAAUGAUGCAUCAGUCUGGAUCACUCUGGUGGGCUCAUUUGAAGUGCUGUUCUCAGGAAGAAGCUGCAGCAAUCAUCUGUGGCUACCCAAGGACUCCUGGGCAUGAGGAUGGGCCAUGUCAUUCUCUUUCCCCCCCUCCUCAGCUCACCCCAAUGGUCAGCGGUUGUUGCCUCUCUACAUGUGUGCUUUGGGCAGCUGCUUUGACCCUGUCCUGCCCUCAGGAAAGUAUUCGGGCCUCUUCUGACUUCUCCCACACUGGUCAGUCUCUGAGCACACAAACAGUGUCACGGGCUUGCCUAGAGCCUUGUCCUUCCCAGCCCUGCGGUCUUGUCCCCAGGUGUCCUCAGCAGAGUCCAUGGUUGGUUGUUUUCCUACAUGGCUUCCUGGUUUGUGUGCACUUGUGUGCAGCUGGGUUCCACAUGAAACGCUGUGGGAGCACAGAUUUGUGCAUGAGUCACAUCAACGUGCCUGAGCCUCUCCCUGUGUGUGUCCUUGUGUGUUACUCACCAAGUGAAAUGUGCUGGGGACACUCCACUGCUCUGUCUGUGAGCAACACAGAGCAGCAUUUUCCCAGAUUCAGGAGGAGCCUGAGUGCAUGUUGCUGGUUUUGGCCUGGGUAGAGUGAACUUUCUUCACAGUGGUUGCUAUGGGGCUGGUUUUAUGGAUUCGUGCUGAACCCAGGGUUGAUAAUACAGAGGCAUCUUUAAUAUUGCUGAGCUUACACAGAGCAAAAGCUUUUUCUGCUUUUUCUGCUGCCACGCUGGCAAGGAAAUUGGUGGUGAAUUGGAUGUUAGGAGGACACACAGCCAGGACAGGUGACUCACACUGAGCAAAGGGAUAUGCCAGACCUUAUGACAUCACGCUCAGUAUUUAAACCUUGGGGGGAAGAAGGAGGAAGGAGGGGAGGCUUGUUAUGAUGGUGUUUGUUUUCCAAAGUUCCCAUCAUGCGUGAUGGGGACUUGCUCUGCUGGAGGCAGCUGAACACCUGCCUGCCCAUGGGAAGCAGGGAAUAAAUUUUUUGUAUUGUUUUGCUUCUGUGCAUGCCUUCUAUUUUCCCAAUUAAGCUGUCUUUUUCUGACCCUGUGAGUUUCCUUGCUUUUACCCAUCUGGUUGUCUCCUGGAUGCUGCUGAGGGGGGAGUGAGUGAGCAGCUGUGUGGGCCUUGGUUGCUGGCCAGGGUUGAAAGCAGGACGGUGCAGUUGAACAGUUAUGUACCAGCCUGCAACAGACCUGCUCAAGAAAGAAGCAUCGACCUGCCCCCUGUGCCGUCCUUUCCUGCUGCUCUACAGAUCAAACUCUCGCUCUGCUGCUGCCAAUUCCAGGGCCCAACAAGGACGGAAUCACCAAAAUUUGCA
This is a non-coding RNA of Pipra filicauda (Wire-tailed manakin), 1910 nucleotides long. The record is from the annotation of a RefSeq genome assembly. NCBI's taxonomy places the organism in Eukaryota, Metazoa, Chordata, Aves, Passeriformes, Pipridae.